AAGUUUAGGUUAAACCAGACCAAGAGCCUUCAAAGCUCUAAGCAAGUAGUACAUACUUAACUUCUG
This 66-nucleotide transfer RNA is filed under the name Ochotona hyperborea (northern pika). RNAcentral describes it as "tRNA-Trp". Lineage: Eukaryota; Metazoa; Chordata; Mammalia; Lagomorpha; Ochotonidae. RNAcentral also lists the same sequence under 2 other names. The record is from RNAcentral.